GAGCAACACUGUGGCAGAUGGUUGAAAUUGUCUGACACAAUAUGAGCAAGAAGGUCUAACCUAUUCCGGUGUUUCCUCCUCUGUGAGACCAACUGUUAGAUAGACUUAAAGUGU
This is a small nucleolar RNA of Leptonychotes weddellii (Weddell seal), 114 nucleotides long. RefSeq annotates it as small nucleolar RNA SNORA28. The record is from RefSeq and is a predicted model, not a curated record. NCBI's taxonomy places the organism in Eukaryota, Metazoa, Chordata, Mammalia, Carnivora, Phocidae.